UACAUAGGGUGCGAGCGUUAAUCGGAAUUACUGGGCGUAAAGCGUGCGUAGACGGUCAUGUAAGUCGGAUGUGAAAGCCCCGGGCUCAACCUGGGAAUUGCAUUCGAGACUGCAUGGCUUGGGUGCGGAAGAGGGAAGCGGAAUUUCCGGUGUAGCGGUGAAAUGCGUAGAUAUCGGAAGGAACACCAGUGGCGAAAGCGGCUUCCUGGUCCGACACCGACGUUCAGGCACGAAAGCGUGGGGAGCAAACAGG
This 253-nucleotide ribosomal RNA is filed under the name uncultured bacterium. RNAcentral describes it as "partial 16S ribosomal RNA". It matches the Rfam family "Bacterial small subunit ribosomal RNA", at positions 524 to 776 of the family's 1533-position model. The record is from RNAcentral.